RNAcentral lists this ribosomal RNA (550 nucleotides) under uncultured Paraglomus. Its description in RNAcentral is "SSU rRNA". It matches the Rfam family "Eukaryotic small subunit ribosomal RNA", at positions 548 to 1098 of the family's 1831-position model. Lineage: Eukaryota; Fungi; Glomeromycota; Glomeromycetes; Paraglomerales; Paraglomeraceae. The record is from RNAcentral.
UUGGAGGGCAAGUCUGGUGCCAGCAGCCGCGGUAAUUCCAGCUCCAAUAGCGUAUAUUAAAGUUGUUGCAGUUAAAAAGCUCGUAGUUGAACUUCAGGCCUGGCUGGACGGUCCGCCUUCCGGGCGAGUACUGUCUGUGGUCGGGUCCUACCUUCUGGCGAAGCGUCAUGGCCUUAACCGGCCGUGGCGGGGAACCAGGACUUUUACUGUGAAAAAAUUAGAGUGUUCAAAGCAGGCAAUUCGCUUGGAUACAUUAGCAUGGAAUAAUGGAAUAGGACAAUGGUUCUAUUUGUUGGUUUCUAGGACUGUUGUAAUGAUUAAUAGGGAUAGUUGGGGGCAUUAGUAUUCAAUUGUCAGGGGUGAAAUUCUUGGAUUUAUUGAAGACUAACUACUGCGAAAGCACUUGCCAAGGAUGUUUUCAUUAAUCAAGAACGAAAGUUAGGGGAUCGAAGACGAUCAGAUACCGUCGUAGUCUUAACCAUAAACUAUGCCGACUAGGGAUCGGACGAAGUUAAUUUUAUAAUGACGCGUUCGGCGCCUUACGGGAAAC